AAUAAAUAACAGAAUAAGUCGAGUAGAGUGGCUUUCACUGGGAAAAUAUACAAUUAGAUUUGUUAACCUACUUUUUAAUGCACUGAUUAUGCCUUAAUUAGUUUAAUUAAGAAUCUUGCCAAGAUGGGAAAUUAGCGCCGUUCGUUCAAAAAUAGAAAGUCGGUAACUAAGCGCUCUAUUUCAAAAACGUGCGUCUUAUGACAUUUUGGCAAAUCGAAACGGGGCCAAAAAUCUUAAUUGCAAUUCCGUUUCGAUGAAGGUGAGCGAGUUUUCUAACCGUGUCAUUAAAGCGUAGGUGGUCCCCGCGGAACUGUAAUUGUCGACUUUUUAUCAAAUUUCUGGGCGAGAUAACGCAAAAACCGUAAACAAACCGAGUCAUAGGAAUGGCAACAAGUUGGUCACCUACACCGUUAAUGCCAAACCACAUAAAUAGACCUCGCUAAAAAUAAACUUUCGGCACAACGAAGAAGAUCACGAUAUAAAUACGUUGGGGCCACGUAAAAAAUAUAAUCGGCAGGAACAAUCUACAGGAAAAAUGCAGCUUCGUUCGUCCGAAUGAGAGUGAGUCACAAAGUGACAAAAAAGAGUCGAUCAAAAAAGGGUCCUACCAUCAGAGCAACUGCAACUUGCGAAAAGUGUUCUUCUCUUCCCAAAAAUAAAAACCGGGGCGAAGGCAAAUGUUUUCACACCAUUCCCCGUAUUGAGAGAGCCAAUGGCAGUGCAGUUAAAAGUCAUCAAAAGACAUCCAAGCAUUGGAUAAACGCAGCGCUAGUCAAGAAGUUCUUUAAAAGAGAUCAAAUAAGAUUGAAUGUAUACUAUUACAUGUAUUAUUAUUUUUUAUCGAAAUAAAAAAUGUGGUAUUGU
Photinus pyralis (common eastern firefly) is the source of this 864-nucleotide long non-coding RNA. RefSeq lists it as uncharacterized. Lineage: Eukaryota; Metazoa; Arthropoda; Insecta; Coleoptera; Lampyridae. The record is from RefSeq and is a predicted model, not a curated record. The transcript has 2 exons.